CGGCAACAGCUCAAAUUUGAAAUCUGGCCUUCUGGUCCGAAUUGUAAUUUGUAGAGGAUGCUUUUGGUGAGGUGCCUUCCGAGUUCCCUGGAACGGGACGCCAUAGAGGGUGAGAGCCCCGUACGGUUGGAUGCCUAGCCUCUGUGAAACUCCUUCGAC
Molecule: ribosomal RNA, 159 nt
Filed under: Pleurophragmium sp.
Lineage: Eukaryota; Fungi; Ascomycota; Sordariomycetes
Description: partial large subunit ribosomal RNA
Rfam family: Eukaryotic large subunit ribosomal RNA
Source: RNAcentral